RNAcentral lists this ribosomal RNA (210 nucleotides) under Candida tropicalis. RNAcentral's name for it is "partial large subunit ribosomal RNA". It matches the Rfam family "Eukaryotic large subunit ribosomal RNA", at positions 349 to 557 of the family's 3401-position model. Lineage: Eukaryota; Fungi; Ascomycota; Pichiomycetes; Serinales; Debaryomycetaceae. The record is from RNAcentral.
UACAGUGAUGGAAAGAUGAAAAGAACUUUGAAAAGAGAGUGAAAAAGUACGUGAAAUUGUUGAAAGGGAAGGGCUUGAGAUCAGACUUGGUAUUUUGUAUGUUACUUCUUCGGGGGUGGCCUCUACAGUUUAUCGGGCCAGCAUCAGUUUGGGCGGUAGGAGAAUUGCGUUGGAAUGUGGCACGGCUUCGGUUGUGUGUUAUAGCCUUCG